This 443-nucleotide ribosomal RNA is filed under the name uncultured bacterium. RNAcentral describes it as "partial 16S ribosomal RNA". It matches the Rfam family "Bacterial small subunit ribosomal RNA", at positions 338 to 795 of the family's 1533-position model. The record is from RNAcentral.
CCUACGGGUGGCAGCAGUGGGGAAUAUUGGUCAAUGGGCGCAAGCCUGACCCAGCAACGCCGCGUGAAGGAAGAAGGCUCUCGGGUUGUAAACCUCCUUUUUGAGGGACGAAGAAAGUGACGGUACUUCAGGAAUAAGUCUCGGUUAUCUACGUGCCAGCAGUCGCGGCAAUACGUAGGUGGCAAGCGUUAUCCGGAUUCAUUCGGUGUAAAGGGCGUGUAGGCGGGAAAGGAAGUCAGGUGUGAAAACUCUGGGCUCAACCCUGAGCCUGCAUUUGAAACUGUUUUUCUUGAGUGCUGGAGAGGCAGUCGGAAUGCCGGGUGUAGCGGUGAAAUGCGUAGAUAUACGGAAGAACACCGGUGGCGAAGGCAGAUUGCUAGACAGUAACUGACGCUGAGGCGCGAAAGCGUGGGGAGCAAACAGGAUUAGAUACCCGUGUAGUC